This 772-nucleotide ribosomal RNA is filed under the name uncultured organism. RNAcentral describes it as "bacterial SSU rRNA". It matches the Rfam family "Bacterial small subunit ribosomal RNA", at positions 633 to 1404 of the family's 1533-position model. The record is from RNAcentral.
CUGGCAAGCUAGAGUACAGUAGGGGUAGAGGGAAUUCCCAGUGUAGCGGUGAAAUGCGUAGAGACUGGGAAGAACACCGGUGGCGAAAGCGCUCUACUGGGCUGUAACUGACGCUGAGGGACGAAAGCUAGGGUAGCGAAAGGGAUUAGAUACCCCUGUAGUCUUAGCUGUAAACGAUGGAGACUAGGCGUGGCUUGUAUCGACCCGGGCCGUGCCGAAGCCAACGCGUUAAGUCUCCCGCCUGGGGAGUACGCACGCAAGUGUGAAACUCAAAGGAAUUGACGGGGGCCCGCACAAGCGGUGGAGUAUGUGGUUUAAUUCGAUGCAACGCGAAGAACCUUACCAAGGCUUGACAUCCCGCGAAUCCUGGUGAAAGCCGGGAGUGCCUUCGGGAGCGCGGAGACAGGUGGUGCAUGGCUGUCGUCAGCUCGUGUCGUGAGAUGUUGGGUUAAGUCCCGCAACGAGCGCAACCCUUGUCCUUAGUUGCCAGCAUUCAGUUGGGCACUCUAGGGAGACUGCCGGUGACAAACCGGAGGAAGGUGGGGAUGACGUCAAGUCAUCAUGCCCCUUACGUCUUGGGCUACACACGUACUACAAUGGUUGGGACAACGGGCAGCGAAGCGGCAACGCCGAGCGAAUCCCAGCAAACCCAGCCUCAGUUCAGAUCGCAGGCUGCAACUCGCCUGCGUGAAGGAGGAAUCGCUAGUAAUCGCAGGUCAGCAUACUGCGGUGAAUUCGUUCCCGGGCCUUGUACACACCGCCCGUCACACCA